CCUACGUGCGGCUGCAGUGGGGAAUAUUGGGCAAUGGGCGCAAGCCUGACCCAGCAACGCCGCGUGAAGGAAGAAGGCCCUCGGGUUGUAAACUUCUUUUAUUCGGGACGAAACAAAUGACGGUACCGAAUGAAUAAGCCACCGCUAACUACGUGCCAGCAGCCGCGGUAAGCCGUAGGUGGCAAGCGUUAUCCGGAUUUACUGGGUGUAAAGGGCGUGUAGGGGGGAGAGCCAGUCAGGCGUGAAAUUCCAGGGCUCAACCCUGGAAAUGCGUUUGAAACCGUUCGUCUUGUGUGAUGGAGAGGCAGGCGGAAUUCCGGGUGUAGCGGUGAAAUGCGUAGAUAUAUGGAGGAACACCAGUGGCGAAGGCGGCCUGCUGGAGAUUAACUGACGCUGAGGCGCGAAAGCGUGGGGAGCAAACAGGAUUAGAUACCCGAGUAGUC
This 443-nucleotide ribosomal RNA is filed under the name uncultured bacterium. RNAcentral's name for it is "partial 16S ribosomal RNA". It matches the Rfam family "Bacterial small subunit ribosomal RNA", at positions 338 to 795 of the family's 1533-position model. The record is from RNAcentral.